Molecule: transfer RNA, 74 nt
Filed under: Pteropus alecto (black flying fox)
Lineage: Eukaryota; Metazoa; Chordata; Mammalia; Chiroptera; Pteropodidae
Rfam family: tRNA
About the family: Transfer RNA (tRNA) molecules are approximately 80 nucleotides in length. Their secondary structure includes four short double-helical elements and three loops (D, anti-codon, and T loops).
Source: Rfam by way of RNAcentral
GGCUCCAUAGUGUAGUGGUUAGCGUGUCAGCUUUACACGCAGAAGAUUCUGGGUUCGUGUCCCAGGUGGAGCCA